AAUAGAUACCCAGGUAGUCCACGCCGUAAACGAUGGAUACUAGCUGUCGGGAGCAAUCUCGGUGGCUAAGCGAAAGUGAUAAGUAUCCCACCUGGGGAGUACGAACGCAAGUUUGAAACUCAAAGGAAUUGACGGGGGCCCGCACAAGCGGUGGAGCAUGUGGUUUAAUUCGAUGAUACGCGAGGAACCUUACCAAGGCUUAAAUGGGAAACGACGGAUCUGGAAACAGGUCUUCCUUCAGGCGUUUUUCAAGGUGCUGCAUGGUUGUCGUCAGCUCGUGCCGUGAGGUGUCAGGUUAAGUCCUAUAACGAGCGCAACCCCUGUUGUUAGUUGCCAGCGAGUCAGGUCGGGAACUCUAGCAAGACUGCCGGUGCAAACCGUGAGGAAGGUGGGGAUGACGUCAAAUCAUCACGGCCCUUACGCCUUGGGCUACACACGUGCUACAAUGGACGGUACAGAGAGCAGCCAGUGGGUGACCACGAGCGAAUCUACAAAACCGUUCUCAGUUCGGAUCGGAGUCUGCAACUCGACU
RNAcentral lists this ribosomal RNA (532 nucleotides) under uncultured bacterium. RNAcentral's name for it is "bacterial SSU rRNA". It matches the Rfam family "Bacterial small subunit ribosomal RNA", at positions 777 to 1317 of the family's 1533-position model. The record is from RNAcentral.